RNAcentral lists this long non-coding RNA (1902 nucleotides) under Homo sapiens (human). The record is from RNAcentral. Lineage: Eukaryota; Metazoa; Chordata; Mammalia; Primates; Hominidae.
ACAGAAGAGAAUUUAAAAAUAAAAUUUCCUGCUACAAAACAACAAAAAUGUUAGUUAAAACAUUAAAAGCACAUUUUAAAUGCAUUUUGUUCUAGUAAUACCAAGUUAAGUUACGGAUAUUAACACUUCUACUGAAAACAAUGCUUAUAUAUAUUAUUUACGUAUAUACGUCAUCUUAAAAGUGUUGAAUUGGUGGCAACCACUAGAUAGUGUAAUAAGAGGCUCAAGUUCUCAGCUCCCUACAAAAACACCAUUUUAACAACCAUCCAUUAAAAAAAAUACCUUUACACAAGAUCCAUAAUCUAAGAAAGAGGUUAUAGCACUCAUGUAGAGCAUGUAAAUGAGAAAAGACAUAUUAAAGGGGAUAAAAAAAAUGUUUCACUUUACCCAUGUCACUCCUCCCUUAAGAAUGUACAGUGCAGUGCUGAUAGUAAUCAGUAUUAGCCUGUGAGUUCUCUCAUGAGGAAAAGGAAGAAAGAAGUGAGUUUCUGAUGCCUCCGUGGAACCUGGCAUUAGGUUCUUCAUUACAGACACUGGCAACAAGCCUAACCCACAGGCCUCUGGCAUCAGGCAUGCCUCUGCCAACUCAAGUACCAGGUCUACCUCUAUGGACCCUGGCACCAAGCCAAUCCACCUAGGUACCCUGACAAUGGUCCACCCACCUACAGACUCUAGCAGAAAUGCCUACUCAGAGACCAUUACAGCCAGUCCACUCAGAAAUGCUGGCUGGACUGACCAACAAAGUGCUUUGCUUGAUGAAGCCAGUGUGUAAAACUAAAAGAAGUGACUACUUCUUCAAAUGCACAGAUACCAAAGCAAGGCUACAAGAUUUACAAAGAAUCAGGGAAAUAAGAUACUACCAAAGGAUCAAAAUGAAGCUCCAGUUACCAACUUUAAACAAAUAGAGAUCAAAAUGAAGCUCCAGUUACCAACUUUAAACAAAUAGAGAUCCAUGAAUUGCCUGACAAAUUAUUCAAAGUAAUUAUCUCAAGAGCGCACCAUGAGCUAAAAGAGAACAAUUAUAAACAACUAAACAAACACAGGUAACAAUACAUUGGGGAAAAAAGAGAUGCUCAGCAGAGACACAAGCCAUAAAAAAAAAAACCCAACAGAAAUUCUAGAGCUGAAGAACACAAUGGCUCAGCUGAAAAACUUAAUAGAGAGCUUCUACAUUAGACACGAUCAGCCGAAGAAGGAGUCAGCUAGCUCAAAGACAAGUAAUUACCCAUUUCAAGGAACCAAAAAAAUUCUUUUUAAGAAUAAAGAAAACCUUAUAGUACUUAUUAGCCACCACUUAGCAAAAUAAUAUAUGCAUUAAGGGAAGCUCUGGGAAGAGAAGGGAGAGAAAGGGGUAGAAAGCUUAUUUAAAGAAAUAAUGCAUGUAUAAUGAUAUAUUGGUAACACUGCAGACUUGGGGAAGCCAGCCAACCUUGGAGAUCUGAGUGUGAGAGAAAAGAAUAUGAAUAAGAAUAAGAAGAGAAAGAGUAAGGAGAAGAGGAGAAGGAGUAAGAGGAGGAGGAGGAGGACAAAGAGAUAGAAUAAAGAAGGAAUGGGUAAAACUUCCAAAAUCUCAGGAGGGAACUGGAUAUCUAAAUUCAUGGAACCAAAAGGAUCUCAAAUAAGUGACACCUAAAGAGGGCUGCACUGAGAAAUGUUAAAAUUAAAUUUUCAAAAGGCAAAGGCAAAGACACAAUUUUGAAAGCAGCAAGAGAAAAGCUGAUCACAUGCAAGAAAAUCUCCGUAAGUCUAUCAGCAGAUUUCUUAGCAGAAAUCUUGCAGGCCUGCAAGAUUCAAAGUACAGAAAGGAAAGAAGAAAAAAACAAAAAACCUGCCAACCGAGAAUACUAUACCUGACAAAACAGUCCUUUUAAAAUGAAGGAAAGAUAAAGACUUUCCUAGAUA